AGUAACACGUGGGUAACCUGCCCAUAAGACUGGAAUAACUCCGGGAAACCGGGGCUAAUACCGGAUAACAUUUUGAACCGCAUGGUUCUAAAUUGAAAGGCGGUUUCUGCUGUCACUUAUGGAUGGACCCGCGUCGCAUUAACUAGUUGGUGAGGUAACGGCUCACCAAGGGAACGAUGCGUAGCCGACCUGAGAGGGUGAUCGGCCACACUGGGACUGAGACACGGCCCAAACUCCUACGGGAGGCAGCAGUAGGGAAUCUUCCGCAAUGGACGAAAGUCUGACGGAGCAACGCCGCGUGAGUGAUGAAGGCUUUCGGGUCGUAAAACUCUGUUGUUAGGGAAGAACAAGUGCUAGUUGAAUAAGCUGGCACCUUGACGGUACCUAACCAGAAAGCCACGGCUAACUACGUGCCAGCAGCCGCGGUAAUACGUAGGUGGCAAGCGUUAUCCGGAAUUAUUGGGCGUAAAGCGCGCGCAGGUGGUUUCUUAAGUCUGAUGUGAAAGCCCACGGCUCAACCGUGG
This 524-nucleotide ribosomal RNA is filed under the name Bacillus sp. A77. Its description in RNAcentral is "bacterial SSU rRNA". It matches the Rfam family "Bacterial small subunit ribosomal RNA", at positions 109 to 618 of the family's 1533-position model. Lineage: Bacteria; Bacillati; Bacillota; Bacilli; Caryophanales; Bacillaceae. The record is from RNAcentral.